RNAcentral lists this ribosomal RNA (336 nucleotides) under uncultured Actinomycetes bacterium. RNAcentral describes it as "bacterial SSU rRNA". It matches the Rfam family "Bacterial small subunit ribosomal RNA", at positions 304 to 652 of the family's 1533-position model. The record is from RNAcentral. Lineage: Bacteria; Bacillati; Actinomycetota; Actinomycetes.
CCGGCCACACUGGGACUGAGAUACGGCCCAGACUCCUACGGGAGGCAGCAGUGGGGAAUAUUGCACAAUGGGCGCAAGCCUGAUGCAGCGACGCCGCGUGGGGGAUGACGGCCUUCGGGUUGUAAACCUCUUUCAGUAGGGACGAAGCGCAAGUGACGGUACCUACAGAAGAAGCACCGGCCAACUACGUGCCAGCAGCCGCGGUAAUACGUAGGGUGCGAGCGUUGUCCGGAAUUACUGGGCGUAAAGAGCUUGUAGGUGGUUUGUCGCGUUGUUCGUGAAAUCUCACGGCUUAACUGUGAGCGUGCGGGCGAUACGGGCAGACUAGAGUACUGC